CCUACGGGUGGCAGCAGUGAGGAAUAUUGGUCAAUGGACGGAAGUCUGAACCAGCCAUGCCGCGUGCAGGAUGACGGCCCUAUGAGUUGUAAACUGCUUUUGUACGAGAAUAAUAGUCCUUACGUGUAGGGUUUUGUAUGUAUCGCACGAAUAAGGAUCGGCUAAUUCCGUGCCAGCAGCCGCGGUAAUACGGAGGAUUCGAGCGUUAUCCGGAUUUAUUGGGUUUAAAGGGUGCGUAGGCUGUCUGAUAAGUUAGAGGUCAAAUGUCGGGGCUUAACCCCGUGCCUGCGUCUGAUACUGUUCGACUUGAGAGCGGAUGCAGCAGGCGGAAUGAGUAGUGUAGCGGUGAAAUGCUUAGAUAUUACGAAGAACACCGAUGGCGCAGGCAGCUUGCUAAUCCGCAUCUGACGCUGAUGCACGAAAGCGUGGGUAGCGAACAGGAUUAGAUACCCGAGUAGUC
RNAcentral lists this ribosomal RNA (460 nucleotides) under uncultured bacterium. RNAcentral describes it as "partial 16S ribosomal RNA". It matches the Rfam family "Bacterial small subunit ribosomal RNA", at positions 338 to 795 of the family's 1533-position model. The record is from RNAcentral.